Molecule: unclassified non-coding RNA, 255 nt
Filed under: Sordariomycetes sp.
Lineage: Eukaryota; Fungi; Ascomycota; Sordariomycetes
Description: partial contains small subunit ribosomal RNA, internal transcribed spacer 1, and 5.8S ribosomal RNA
Rfam family: Eukaryotic small subunit ribosomal RNA (bases 1-46)
Source: RNAcentral
AAGUCGUAACAAGGUCUCCGUUGGUGAACCAGCGGAGGGAUCAUUACGAAAUUAUAGGGCCUCACGGCCUCUAUAAAACCCUAUGUGAACCUUACCUACUAGUUGCCUCGGCAGGUUGCUUCAGGGCGGAGCUGCUUGCCUUCUCUCCGGGGAAGGUGCCUGCCGGAGGACACCUAAACUCUUCUAUAUUUUAGCGACCUUCUGAGCCUUAUAACAAUAAGUUAAAAACUUUCAGCAACGGAUCUCUUGGUUCUG